Molecule: ribosomal RNA, 467 nt
Filed under: uncultured bacterium
Lineage: Bacteria
Description: partial 16S ribosomal RNA
Rfam family: Bacterial small subunit ribosomal RNA
Source: RNAcentral
GAUGAACGCUGGCGGCGUGCUUAACACAUGCAAGUCGAACGGUGAAGGCGGAUCUUGCUCUGCUGGAUCAGUGGCGGACGGGUGAGUAACACGUGAGCAAUCUGCCCCUGACUCUGGGAUAAGCGCUGGAAACGGCGUCUAAUACUGGAUACUAGCUGCGCAUGCAUCUUCAUCAGCUGGAAAGAACUUCGGUCAGGGAUGAGCUCGCGGCCUAUCAGCUUGUUGGUGAGGUAACGGCUCACCAAGGCGUCGACGGGUAGCCGGCCUGAGAGGGUGACCGGACACACUGGGACUGAGACACGGCCGAGACCCACGCGGGAGGCAGGAGGGGGAAAUAGUGCAAAAGGGGCGAAAGCCAGAUGGCGACGCGGCGCGUGGGGGAAGAGGGCUUUCGGGUUAUAAACCUUUUAUAGCGGGGAAGACGCGAAAGUACCGGUACCGGAAGAAAAAGAGCCGGCAAAUUACGU